Non-coding RNA from Lonchura striata (white-rumped munia), 12890 nucleotides. The record is from RefSeq and is a predicted model, not a curated record. Lineage: Eukaryota; Metazoa; Chordata; Aves; Passeriformes; Estrildidae.
AAGAAUGUGGGAAAAUUACUUUACUAGAGGUCUUAAUUGAGCUCUAAAUAAUUUACUGAUUUGACACUGAUGAUUUGGUGUCUUAACUCGAACCUUACACUACAUUUAUAUAGAAAAUUUUGCAAGCUUCUGCCAAGUUUUAGAAGUAAUGUACGAUGUACUGACGGUAGGACUGGGCCAAAUCAUUCAUAUUUGACGCUUGUUACUGGCCUGCUCUGGUUUUCGUAAUCAAUUCAUUUUAGCAUUUUGUUUCCUUUUCUGUACUCUAGGUUUUCUUUUGUUGUAAAAGGCUUUCACGUUUUCUUCAUGAUGUGGAAGAUAUGAGCUGUAUGAAACUUUAUUUGGGGGUUCUAACACUAAACUUGAUGGAAGUGGUUUAAAGCAACGGAAAGAUGUCAGAUGCACAGUAAAAACUACUUAUUUCUAUGAUUUGAUAAGCUGUUACAUACCUCUUCAUAUGUGUUUUGUUAGUGUGUAUCAUGUAUGUAUUCUUAACCUUGUUGUGCCUUUAAAAUGGAUUUAUAUCUCUUUCUAAGGGGGGCAAAAAUUUUUGUUCUGGAUUAAUUUAAUUUCAUUGUUUCUCCUUUGUGUAGUUAAGCAAUAAUGAAGUGACAGGAUGUACAUGAGAACUUAAUAGGUAGUUACUCUUCCUGAACUCACAGAUGUGUGCAAAUACUAAUACAGAAAAGUAAAAGUAGAUAAGUGUUCAUCAUGGAUUUACAGAUGAGGGAGAUACUAAAAUGUGGUUUUACCUUAUCUUUGACUUUGCAGCUUUUUAAUAAUUUGGGAAGUACCAUAGAAUUAAAACCCCCAAAUACAAUUCUUAUAAACCUCAUCUAAAAUUCUUAAAUGUUGUUUCACAGUUCUGCUAUAAACAAAACUAGUUCAGUGUAAACAUUCAAAUAAAAUACACGCUUUAAUGGAACAAGUAAUUCUGAAAGCCUGUGUCUUAUUAAGAUAAGAAGAGUGGGAGGUUAGGUGUAUUUUCUUGUAUCUUUACUUUUUGAUUAAUGUUAAAGGAAUAGAGGUGAAAUAAAUGAGAUGCAUAGAAAGGCUAAAUAUACAGGACACAAUUUCCUGGGAAAGGACUGAAGUUCAAAUAUGUGUAAAUUAAGUACCAGUGCUUCCAGUAGAGGACUUCUGUCACAAGUUUAGAGAGCUCCUCCUUAGAAACAAGGGAUGCCAAAUCUGGUCCUGCUCUUAUGGCAGGAAAAUGUCAUCUUUGCUUUGAUUGUGACAAAGCAAGGAUUAUCACGAUUUAAAUUUAUGACGUACAUAGUUAUCUUGCCACAGUGAUGAAUUUGAAUGGCUGAAGAGUCAGCAUCUUAGGUAAGUUUGUCUGAUGAGCUGGUAUAUGCACAGCUGCACGAUUGUAACAGCCUUCCCAGGACUUGGAAUGUGGUAGUGCCUUUGGUUGUUUCAGCAGUUUCUUCAUGUGCCUCAGUUAAUGAAGCACUUUUGGUUUUUUGGUCAUUCAAAGAACAAUUUGGUUGCACAGAUGCUUUUCAAAGUCAUAUUUUCUGCUUAGAAAAUUCUCUUGGGUAUUGACAGCCAGCGCAGUUGUGGGUUGAGAGUGGUGCUGUCAUGGGGUGCUUAAACCAGCAUUUGCUCCUAUCAGCUGCAGUUGGCUUAGUUUAUACCUGUUUGGUCAUUACAGUGCACUUCCAAAUAUUAUUUUUCAUUAAUGAAAGUUGUGUUCUCAAUGAGGUAUUGAUCUGAGCAAGUUUGAGUAGAGACUUAAGAAAAUAUAAACUUACAUUUGUAAGAAAUUACAGAGUUACAUUUGUAUUGUCAGUGAGACAAAUUCCUUUAAUAAUUCCAGGUGUGUUACAGGAAAUUUUGUAUCUUGGAUGGUUCUGAUUCCCUACGUUUGUAAUAAAGGUACUUGAAUUUUGUUCUACCUCUCUUUUCUGAGGUUCAUUUUUAAACUGUUUGGACAUUUAUUUUAGCUUUCACAUUAUGAUGUAAACUAGAGUCCUUCAAACUUUAUGCAUAAAUAUACCCUGUCAGGGCAUACUCAUCAGUCAGGUGUUGAUCAGAUGCAAGAUUUUGCAGAGUCCAAAAAGUAAGUGUCUAAGUUGUUAAAUAAGAUGAAAGUAAAGUUAUGAGAAGACCAGAACAAGAUUGAGCAGAAUAGGAGAGCAAACUGCUCUGAAGGUGGUCUGUAAAAAGCAGUGUGAAAGAAUCUGGUGACAAGUACAUGUUCUGUUAAUUGUUCAAAGAAAUUGAUGCAUUAGGAUAUAGAACUUCAGUUUGAAAUGCAGACUUCUUUGGAGAAGCGGCUGCUUGCUUAAGUGGAGUUUCUUUUUCAAUACAUUGCAAGUAAUGUUUGUAGUGUAUUAGAAUGGAUGUUUUUUACUUGUGUGCAUCAAAAGUCACAAUCAAGUAACUGAAGUAAGAGCUUUUAUGUUUUAGUCUGUGUAACCAUUUUAUCAUUAAUGUGUUGAUAUUUACAAACUUGGCACCUGAGAUAAUUUUGAUGGCUUAUUUUUAAAUCAGUAUUUUUAAUGUGAGAAUUAUAGUGCAAGCUGGCAUCUUGAAAUCUGAACAAGCUAUGAUGAAAAACAGUACCAACAAUCAGUCUCUUUGAUUAGAAAUAUUUAGUUUUGAAUAUGAUGCCAAGUUACUGUCUUUGUAUAUUAGAUGAUAUCAAAAGGGAGUUCCUCACUUCUCACAUUGUGCUAUUGGCCUAGUCCUGUGCAAAGGAGUGUCAUCAUUGAGGCCUUUACUUUGCUCUCAGUUGAAGAAAAUGGUAAUCAACUGGAGUGACUAUAUGGGGGGUAUAUGGUGGAAUGGUUAAUACUAUUCCUAACACUCACUAAGAUGCCUGAUCUGUUUUUCAGACUUGAAAUUAUUUCUAGUACAGUGCUUUUCAGUCCACUUUGCCACAUGUUAGUAGGUGUUCACCUUGCUUUACAUAUGACAGCUGAGCUUAAAGCUUUUCUAAAAUGUUUGAUAUUUUAGAAUAUUAACUUAGAAAGCUAUUUCACUUUGGGUAGGAAGAAUAGCUUUAUCUUGCAGAUAACAGUGACUUCUACUAAAAUUAGGAAUGCUGUACAUAAAAUUUACUGCAUUAUAUGGUACUAUAAAGCUGAAAUAAAUCUUGAUAGUGCGGCAUCAGCAAUAUGUCCAGUUGUGCAAGGACAGGACAAAGAGCUGAGUUUGAGUCCCAGCUUACCAGACCAGACAGUACAAGAGCAUCAAAUAGAGAAAUAGUUCCUUUAUUCAACAUUGCUUUGUGGGCUUUUUCAGAAACAGGUAAGUCUAUGUCAGUAUACCAAUAAGGGGUAGAACGUUUGCAGGAUACUCUGCAGUUUAUAAUGCUGUUUGUUGUCUUUGUCUUGAAAUACAGAUUCCAUUUCCUGUGUAUUUCAAAUCUAAUGAAGAUUUUCUGUUUUCUACCAAAUAUGAUUUUAUUAUGGUGGAAGCUGGAAGCUGGUGUUCUGCACUUGUUAUAUAGUAAUUUGAGAUGGAAGUUGUCACCUGGUAGAGUUAAUACAGGAAGGAAAUUACUUGAUUGCACAAAGACUCAGAAAUCUUUUGACAGGACCAGAGGAAACGGGUACGUGCAGAAACACAGGGGGUUACUUCUGAGCAUCAGGAAACAUUUUUUCUGUGAGGGGUGACCAAGGACUGGCACAGGCUGCCCAGAGAGGUUGUGGAGUCUCCAUUCGUGGUGAUGUCACGAGCCAUCUGCAUGUGGUCCUGGGCACUGGAUCUAGGUGGCCCUGUCUGAGCUGAGGAGUUGGACCAGAUGAUCUCUAGAGAUCCCUUCUGACAUUAACAUGUCCAUGAUUCUGUCAUCUAAGAAAACUUUGGAUUUAUUAAACUUUACAUGAAUGAAUUAACAGUUAAACCUAUUACAUGCUUAGGUAUUUGGAUCUUUCCUUAAUAGGUUUCAUUUCAAUGUAGAUGUAUGAGCUGGGUAGUAUUGUUAAAUUUUACAUUUUCAAAUUAAGCAUGUCAAGACGAAAGCUCUUGGAGUGAAUGAGUUGUUGUUAAUGAAGACUGUGUGACCAUGUCUUGCCCUGCCCUUCCCCCAGCACAGUCUUACUGCUUCAGAGAUUUUAGCCCCACAAAGAUAAUCAGUUCUGCUGUCAUUAUUUUGGAAGAGGAGGUUAGGACACUGGCCUAACUUGGCACCUGCUGCAAAAUGACAGGUAAGGAGCCUUACAGGAGGGAAUGGGGAGCAUUGUGUGAAGUUCUGUAAAGCAGAAUUGCAAAUACUUCAGAAGCUGUGUUUUAGUGAGUUUCACAAUUCCUUUGGAAUGCUGGUUUUGUUUUGUUUUGUUUAAUUAGAGAAAAUUGGACUGUGAACAGUAUAGGAAGUUUUGUGUGAAACUAGAUUCCCUCUUAGAUUUUUGAAGAUACAAAAUGUCCUCAAAAUAGUGAGGUCAUCACUUAUAUAUAAGAAUUUUUCUGUAAAACAAAGCUUAUGCUGAUUUUCUAUAGUGUUAAAACUAAGAUAUGAGAAAACUGUCUCUUAGGCUUUGCAUAUGCACAUUUUUGCUACUUAAAAACAAUUUGAAAUUAUUUUGAAAUAAAAAAUGAGUCUUAAUAGAAGUAUGCCUAUUUGAACAUCCCUAACAUCUUAGUGGUUCUCUUAACUCCUUGUAUAAGCGUAUAUUUGUUUGCAUUGUGUGUAGCAUGAUGGUAUCCUGACUUCUGUUAAAGUAGUAGAGCUAUACUGAUCCUACUUAACUCUGUGCUAGCUAUGCUAGUUUAACGAUAUCUAGUUUACAGCAGACUUUUCUAAAUCUGUGUCUGCAAUAGGUGACCUCCGAGUUUCCAGAACCUGGCAGAACUAUCUUGUGAAAUUUUAACUGUAGCUUCCUCUGCUAAGUGCAGUAUUUUCAGAUGCUUUUCAUCUGUCAGGUGUCUUAAAUUUUCUUUGUGAAGUCACAUCUAUACAUCAUUAUUUCUAGGUGAACGAGAUGAUGAGGGUUAAAGGUUAUUCUCUUCUUCCUUAAACAAUUUGUACUUUUUAGCUGUUCAUGAUAAAGUAUCACAAAAUGCUCAGAACUUCACACCUUUGUAACCUGUCACAUGAGUUCUGAAUGGAGAAAAUAACACUGUUACUUGGACAUUUUUCCAAGUUGCUCAGCAUGAACACAGUCAUUGAAAGUAAAAAUCUGAACAUUGAAAGAUAUUUCUGCUGCUUCAAUAACUACGUUUUUUAAUGGGAGUGUCAUAGAGGGGAGCGGGCUGUAUUAAAAAAUACAGGAUUUAGUUGUUUCAUACAGAUUAUUGUAAUGACUUGGACUACUUUCUCAAAACGCACAGAAUUUUGCAAAAAUAUAAUUUGUGUAUAUAUAUUUGUAUAAAAAACAUUUUGAUGCUAUUGUGUCUUGCAUCUAGGAAUGUAAUGACUUGCAAAUGACCAAUUUUUAUUAAUUUUACAAAGUGCUUACAAAUUUUAGUAUCUUUGAAUUCAGAUCUUGCUGAAGCUGUACAGAUGAGAACUUUUGUGUCUUCUGUUUAAAUACUUUCAGACAUGUUCAUCAUUCCCUAAAUACUGAAGAAAUAAUCUAAUUUCUGUAUGGUGAAGAUCUGCAAUCCAGGCAAAACAGAAACAAAUGUCCCUUGAUCGCAGAUUGUCACUGGCAUGUGUUCACUAGUAACUGCCACCAUUUGUUCUUUUUUGAAAUCUGAUCCCAGAAGAGGAAUAUUACUGCAUUUGCAUUCCUCAUUCUGUGUAAGAUGCUAACUUCAGAUACCCUACACCUUGUAACUUGAAAGUUGUGAAAUGGAUGUAAAAUAUUUUUAAUGAUCUUGCAAAGGAAAUUGAAUGCCUUGUUGGCUUAGCUCAAGUAGUAUUUUCCCUUUUUAAGAAACUUAGUUCUUCUUUUGAGCUCUAAUUUGAUAAUUUUUUUUCCCAUUAAAUGCUUGCUUGCUUCUAGUUCUCUGCAAGUAUAUGCACUUAUUAAGAGAGUUUGACAAAGACAAGAUUGGAAAAAAUUGUGUUGGCCGUUUGUCUCCUAUAAUCCCUGGCAGGUGUACAGUGAUGCCAGGUAACAAUUGAUUUAGUCUCUGAUGGUUUUAUUGUCCUCGGCAGGGACUACUCAUAAUUAAGAUGAGCAGGUUUGGCUAGAUUAAAGUUAAUACUAAGAGAAGAAUGGGGAGGAUAAGAUUGCCUGACCAUUUAAGAAUGUCUAGCACUAUAUCUUCUGUUAGUAUGUCAGCAGCCAACAUUGUUAUUUGUUACCUUUUGAUAGGUAAGCCUGAACAAAUGCAAACAUGAACACAGCUCUGCGGAUCAUCUCGGGUUCCCUUUGGAAACCCCAAAUAAGUGGCCACAAGGGAUUGUGUGUUUUCCUGAGAACAGCUCGGCAAUGGAGUUCUUCUUUCUGUGUGCUGGAUAGUGGUUCUGCUACUCUCAAAAUCAUACCUGUGCCUGCUGGUGCAAAAAGACAUAUGGUCACUUCAGUGGAAGUCAAAAUUUACCUGUGCUGCUCUUGUGUGUUGCUAGGUUACUGUUAAAAUCUUAAAAAUGCAGAUGAAGACUGGCUUGUGCAGAAUCCUUCUGCUAUCUUAUGCAGACAAAAGGGAAUCCUAAACCAGGUUUUAGUACAAGGUACGUAUAUUAAGGUAUAUUACUUUAUCCAGCAGUUACUGAAAUCAGUACCCCACUUUUUGUUCAGAUUUGUGAUUUUAUGUAGUUGUGCUUCUACACUUCAAUUAAUACUUUAUUUCAGAUAAUGUAAUUCCUGGCAUAGUUCCUGCCAUGUGUUAUGUUUUUAAAGGACUUCAAGCAUAUGCACACAGCUUUUAGCAGCCAGCUCAAGCUCUGGCCAGCCAUCCAAACCCCAUAGUGCCACGUUAAUUUGAUGCCAUGACUGAGCUGCUGGAUGUUACUGAUACAUAGCACUCAGACUCCUGAUUGUACAACCAACACAGUAGUUACUGUUCUGAACAGUCUUUGGCAUUAAUCAGAAGGCUCUGUUAUGGAAGGCAGUAUCCAUGUACUCUGGGAGACCUGGGGCAGAGUUUGAUUUGUGUGCAAGCAGGUGUGUAGUGCCAUCUGCCCUGACUCUGUGGACAGCAUCUUAAUGGGUCUGACAGAUAGCAAGUUUUUAAAGGGAGCUCUAUGCAUCUAAGUUCAAUAGUUCUGGUAGUUCCAAAAUUCAAAAAUACCAGUUAUUUUUAUAAAGUAAAAGUAAAUUUAAACACUGGUGGGAUUUGACCAAGAUGUGCAAGUUCUACUGGUAAAGCAAGAGAAAUUUGUGUUAAUUCUUCUGUGUUGGUUUGGCUUAGCAAAAUGACUCAGAGCUGUCUCUGUAGUUGUGUUAACAGUGAACUGGAAAUAUAAAGGACCAGAACAAUUUAUCUGUUUUGUAAUCACAUGUAGAAGGUGUCCCUGUCCAUGGCAGGGGUUCAGACCAGAUGAUCAUCCUUCUCCAUUUGCUGGCAACUUUCUUUGUAAAGCAGGAUGCCAUUUGGAUGCCUUUGUGGCCAGGUUGCACUCUUUGCUCAGGGUGGUUCUUGGACCUGGUGUUUACCAGGGCCACCAUGUCCUUGCCUGCAAAGGGGCACUCCAGCCAGCUGGCCUCCAGCCUGUCCUGGUGUCUGGGAUUAUUUCUCCCCAGGUGCAGGAUUUGGUAUUUCGUUCUGUUGAAUUUCACGAGAUCCUGUAAACCCAUUUCUCCAGCCUGUCGAGGGAUCACUGGAUGGUGGCAUGACACUACGGCCUUAGCAGCCACUCCUCUCAGCUUUCCUGUCAUCUGCAGACUUGCUGAGGACAUGUUGUCCCAUCAACCAGGGCAGAAAUGAACAUCCUGAAAAGGACUGGCCUCAGUACAGGGAUACUCUGCUAUUCACUCACAUCCAAGAGGACUUAAUGCCACCAACAACCUUCUAAGCCUGUCUCUUCAGACAGCUUUUAGUCCGGCUCAUGGUCUACUUACUGAAAGUAUCAGUAGUCUGUCAGUAUCAUGACAGGAUCAAAAUAAUAACUGGAGAUACUACGGCAGUGUCAAAAGAUUUCCUAAGCCAAGGCAGACAAUAUCCACUGCUCUCCCCAUGUCCACUGAACUGGUCACCUCACCAGAGAGGCUCUCCAGUUGGGAACCUUAAGCAUUUGCAAAUGACCUCAUUGUAAAUACAUGCUGACUGCUGCCACUUAAACCUUCUUGCCCUUCUUGGUCUGGAAAUGGGUUUUGGAAUAGUUGUUCCAUCACCUUCUGAGGGCCUAUAGUUCCCUGCAUCCUCUUUCCUGCCCUUCUUGAAGACAGGAGUGACUUUUGCUUUCCCCUGGUCCUUGCACACCUCUCCCAGUUGUCACACUCUGUCGGCAAUGCAGUGUAGCCUUGCAAAGCCAGCAGCCAGCUCCUUCAGCACUCACGGGAGCAUCCUAUCAAGCUCAGCAUGUGUGACUUUUCCAGUUCGUGUUCCAUAACCUGGACCCUGUCAUGUUCUUAGUACUGGGAGGGGCACUGAUGAGGUGGGAAAGUUGUUGCACACCUUUUUGUGGUUCUGAUUUUGCCCUUUACUAGGGAGUCACAUUAUUUUUCAGUUGUAGUAAAAUCACAGUAUAAAAAUUGUCACACAAUAAUUUGCAAUAUAAGCUAGACUAUUGAAGUAAGCAAGCUACAAGCAUUUACUCACAAAAUCUAAAAAAGACAAGCAGCUAAAGCUCUUUCUCAAAAAAGUAGUAGUAAAAAAGAAAAUGCCUAUUUUUUCAGAGUUUGGUUCAAUUUUUUUUUUUUUUUUAAUCUAGAGGACAUUUUGUCUUGUCCAUGUAACCACUGGAAUUCAGUCUUGCUUGUCACUACAUAUGAGAGUGCUGCUGUGCAUGAGAGCCAUUUGGGACCCUCAGUGUUUGGCAGGUUUCCCAGGCAUCUCAGAAUUUUUCUGUCAGCUUACAGUUUCCUUCCUGUGAAGGGAAAAAAGGAUGAUCAAGGUUCCUUGGAGAUACAAGUGUUUCUUUUACCAGCUAAAUAACAACUCCUUGUCUCAAUGAAGUGGUAAAUGUAUCUUCCUCUUUUUCCAUUCCUCGUAUGUGUGUGGACCUCAGACUGCAGAGUGAACCUGGCUGAUGAAGUGUAGUGGCCUAAUGAAAUUUUGUUAAGUAUUGUGCCAGGCUGCCUGUUCCUGGGCUUCCUGAACAGAGGGAGCUCCUUGCCAUUGGAGUCUUCUUAAGUGCUCUACUUUGAUGAUAAGAGCACACUUACACGGAAGUUCUCACUCAAGUGUCUUUUAACUCUUUAGCCUGAAUCAUACUUACUUCUUGGAAAUGUUUCUCUCCAUUGAAUGCAUUAGGUUUCAAUGGAAGCUGCUGGUGGCUGCCCAUCCUCAGAUCUGAGGCUGUUAGAUUGUAAUGAUGUGCAAAAUGCUGCUCUGCACCUUGGAGUUACAAGGACCAUCCAGGUGAGAAUAUAAUAAUGUUGUCACUUGUUAGAACUCCUGUAAUGGUAAACUUUGCACUCAGUUUCAGCUUGUUAGUACUAUUUUUGUGCUUAAUGCAUGAAUGUUUUUUUUUCCCCCUUCUAUCUCUCUGUGCUCUUGGGCAAACAAAUAAUGCUGUUAUCUAAUAAAACAGUAGCUACAUCUCUCACACCUGGCUGAAGGUAGGAGAAGGACAAACUGAUCACUCUCAGUUAAGCUGUUUUCUCUCUGCUUGUAGACAGGUCAGACCUAUGAGACCUGAGGGAAAAGGGCUGUUUGAAAUUAUAAAAAAGAACCCAGCCUGGAGGUGGUGUAUCCCCCACCAAUACCUCAGCUUGGAAGACAUGAGAAGAAUGUGAAUACAUCUGCUUGUGAGCUCCAAGUCCUCUUUCUACAUGAGGAGACAAGUUACAGCUUUUGUGAUGUUAUUGUUUUCAGCCUUUGGCACAGAAGGUGGUGCCAGUCCAGCAUUUAAUAGUAAAGCUGAUGUUGGCCUACUUUACUGAUGCCCUUUUCAUCUAGACUGCACUCAAAGCAGAUUUUCUUCCUAGAAAUAGCAGUGUUACGGCAAGUGGGUGUCACUAAAAUGAUUAAAGUUUGUAUGUUCUACAAGAAUAAUAAGAGUAAAUGAUAUAUUACAUGACUGCUGUUGGACUUUAAAAAAGCCUUUUAAAAUUAAGAAGGUAUUUUCAAGCCCUACAAUAUAUGACAAAAAAUAGGAAAGUGGUAGGGUUUAAAGAAAAAGCAGUAAUGUGGAUUGUGUUUAUGCUGCAGUAGUUUAGAAGACUAUGAAAGUAUUAAUUACGUAGAGAAAAAUUGUAUGAGCCAAUGACAGCUGAAAAGAACUAGAAGGAAAUGUUAAUCAUGGGGGAGAUUACAGCUGCAGUAAGCUGUCUGUGCUGUAGGAAGUUAUACUACAAAUGCCUACUGUCUUAAUGUAGCUCAAUAAAAAAAUGAGAAAACAUGAAGAAUGAAAAAUUAAUUUUAUGUGAUGAGAUUUGAACACUGGCCUGUAACAUACUACAAGGGUUUUAAAAAAAAUUUGAUAUAGCUAUUGUAAAACUUUCAAAUUAAAUUAGUAACAGGAUGUUUAUUUUUUAUUUCCUGAAAUCAGCAAGGCAGUGGACAUGAAUUGAAGGCUUGACAGGAACCUCACACAGUUAAAUCCUGCAGUGGGAACUGAACUAAGCUGGUGCAGUUGUAGAUCCUGGGCACAGACUGGUGGCGAAGCAGCUUUGUGGAAAGCUGAUCUGGGGUCGUGACAGACAAGUGAAGACGAAGGUGUCCACCCCCAUGCUGGGGGCUCCAUUAGAAGAUCAUGGCUGAGCAGGGGCCAGAAAGAGCAAUCUCUGUGCUCAGCACAUCUGAGACUGCAGCUGAAACACUGUGCCCAGUAAUGGACUCUUGAAGACAAGGAGAUGUGGGAAUGAAUCCCAUGGAAGCCAUUGGGCCAUCAGAAGGCUGAGGAGCACAGGAGCCAUGAAGCCAGGCAACAGGGGUUUUUCCAGCUGGAGAACAGGAGAUGGAGGUGGUUAAGAGAUUCUACUAAUCCAGCUGUGUAAGAGAAGUGCAUAGAGAAGGUGGAGUCAGGCUCAUGGCAGUGGUGCAAAGUAUGGUGGCAGUUUUGGACCGUUGUUACAGUGCAUGGAAGUGUUGCACCAUACCACUAAUAAAAACAGUGCAAGGCAGCACUGUGUAGCUGUACUUACCUUGGCUCCCUGCACUGUGGAAUCAUUGGGGGCUUCCUGCUAAUCAUUUGGUUUCAGGAAGGGUGGAUGCAGGGGACCUGGGCUGGAGGUUCACUCAUGGGUUUACGGAUCUUAACCCUGUUAUUCGCUGAAAGAACUACUGUGAUACUGACACAGUAGAGCUGACAGUGAGGGAAUGUCCAAAGCCUUUAAAUCUCCUGUGCAAACUUUUCCCUAAGGGUUGUCUUACGCAACUUCAUAAAGUCUUUUUCAGAAAAACUCUGUCAGCACAACCUUUACAAGGGGGUUGGGGCUGGGACAGCACCUUACCCCCUCCCCCACUGGAGGGCUGUAUUCAGUAUAAGACAUGCAGCUGCUGUCCCUUAAGUUCUGCUGGCCCAUGCUCACACAGUUGCAGUGAAUUGUUUCAGAACGGGCCCUCAUCUCCCUGGGUAUGUGACAAUGUUUUCAGUUCCCAUACACAUGGUUUGGGUGUCUCAGCAGCAGAACUGUGCCUUCCCUUAAGAGCAAGAGGCACAGCAGCAGUGGGAGACAAUGAGAAGGUCUGACCCCUCUGCUAUAGCUGCACCAGUGCCACCACUAACUGCUCAGAGUUUCUUACACUUCAGAUAAUGGUGGAAGUAUUACAGAUAUUCUGGAAAAAGAUUCAUGAUAGGUGAAACUUCUGCUGUGGAAAAACAGGUGACCUGGUAUCAAAAAGAACCUGGUCUCUUCCUGCUGACUCCUAUAUUUGAGGUAUCUGAGAUUUGAGAGACCCUUUUAAAGCUUAAUUUUUCCUGCUGUCUCAGUUCUGCUUGAACUUGUAGUAUGUGGUGACUUUUUCAGGUAGUUUUUUCCCUAUAUUCCUUGUUUACAUGGGACACAGAAAACCAGGAAUUUUGAACUGUCAGGAUUCAGUGAUGGGCUUGCACUACAUGCCCAUGCUGCAGUAGUGUAGAAACACAUGGCCUUUAUUUUAUAGUUCUCUUGCCUUCUUAAAAGACCAGGCUCUAUUAUGGACUCCAGCAAAGCUGAACACACUGCUACAGGAAUACAUCCUGCAGGGUCAUCACUGCUCCCAUGAUCCUGGGCAGUCACUACUUUGAGAGACUUUGAAGAAAGUCUUUGAAGAAAGAUGUUACAGCAGCUGCUUUCCAGUACCAUAUGGAAAGGCACGUGGUGGUUAACAGAACUACAGGAGAGACAGACAAGCAGAACAUUUGGGGACAGCUUCUGUGCACUUGGAGCCGUCCUGGCUGGCUAAGAUGGCAGCAGAAUGCUGUGCUGUCUCUUCCCCAUAUUGGAACAGCUUUCUUAAAUUCAGACUGAUCAAAACAUCUUGUUUUUGCAAAUGGGCACAGAAAGCACAGAAGAGCUGUGAUGUGGUCAGCUGCAUCACCCGCCAACCUUCAGCACCUGUGAAAGAAGCCAGGAACAGCAGGACUGGUGCUGGAGCAGUGAAGUAAGAACCCUGAACCUUCAGAACCAUAUGCUACCACUGCAGUUCAUAGGAACUGCAGCUGCAGCCCUUGCUGGUGGCAGCAAGAAGAAACUGAGCAAAUACUUCACAGGUAUUUCUCCACAGUGCCUAAAUAAUUGUUUUUUAUUGUAGCUACUUUAUCUUCAUCCUUUGUCCACCAAAACCUUUUUCAGCAAUCAGACAAAACCCAUACAAUAAAAACAGACAAAACCCAGCUUCAAACAGCUUUUCAUACACUUCUUAUGCAUCUUCAAUAGGGAUUCUGAAUUUAUAUUGCCAACUAAAAGCGAAAGAUGGCUGCGAAAUAUCCAUCCCUAAUAAAAACAUCAUGAAACCCA